AUGUGCGAGACUGUUGAAGACAAAGUAUUACCCUCAUGGUCAGUUGUUAGACACAGUGUUUCAAACACUGGUUCUGCGGUGUGGAAAGGUAUAUUGCAUGGGUUGGAGUUGUUGAAAAGAGGAGUUAUAUGGCGGGUGGGGGACGGGGAGCACAUCCGGACGUGGCGAGACCCCUGGAUCCCACGGCCAUCCUCCUUCCGUCUGAUCACCCCGAAGGGAACCUGCCGUCUAAAUCAUGUUUUAGAUUCUCUGGACGCCAAUGGGGCAUGGAGGGCUGAUUGUCUUCGUGAAUAUUUUUGGGAGAUGGAUGUUCUACAUAUUCUCAAGAUACACACCUCUCUAAGGCAGCGUUCCGACUUCCUGUCAUGGUUUCCAGAGAAGAGUGGAGUAUUUUCAGUUAAGAGUGCAUACAAAUUAGUCACAUGCGAUCAUGAUCCAGUUUUUUCUGAAGGGGCAUCAAGUGCGGCGGCAAAUGGUUCCCACUCUCUUUGA
RNAcentral lists this ribosomal RNA (492 nucleotides) under Triticum aestivum (bread wheat). RNAcentral's name for it is "partial small subunit ribosomal RNA". The record is from RNAcentral. Lineage: Eukaryota; Viridiplantae; Streptophyta; Magnoliopsida; Poales; Poaceae.